This 110-nucleotide small RNA is filed under the name Candidatus Halomonas stercoripullorum. Its description in RNAcentral is "t44 RNA". It matches the Rfam family "t44 RNA", at positions 12 to 95 of the family's 95-position model. From Rfam's summary of the family: This family consists of a number of bacterial RNA genes of between 135 and 170 bases in length. The t44 gene is found between the map and rpsB genes in all species in the full alignment apart from Shigella flexneri. Lineage: Bacteria; Pseudomonadati; Pseudomonadota; Gammaproteobacteria; Oceanospirillales; Halomonadaceae. The record is from RNAcentral.
CGCCUUGAAAACACACACGUACCGGCACAUGGUCCCGGGUGCUGUCGCGCUUUCUCUGAAAAUAUCGAGAGACCCGACAGUCGGAUCCAUGGGGUGCGUGGAGGCCUAAC